AGAGUUUGAUCCUGGCUCAGGACGAACGCUGGCGGCGCGCCUAACACAUGCAAGUCGAACGGGACUAUGCUGGAAGAAGUUUUCGGAUGGAUUUUGGUAUAGUUUAGUGGCGGACGGGUGAGUAACACGUGAGCAACCUGCCUUCGAGAGGGGAAUAACGGCUGGAAACGGUCGCUAAUACCGCAUAAUAUACAGGAGGGACAUCCCUUUUGUAUCAAAGAUUUAUCGCUCGAAGAUGGGCUCGCGUCCGAUUAGGUAGUUGGUGAGGUAACGGCCCACCAAGCCGACGAUCGGUAGCCGGACUGAGAGGUUGAACGGCCACAUUGGGACUGAGACACGGCCCAGACUCCUACGGGAGGCAGCAGUGGGGGAUAUUGCACAAUGGGGGAAACCCUGAUGCAGCGACGCCGCGUGUGGGAAGACGGUCCUCUGGAUUGUAAACCACUGUCCCCAGGGACGAAGAUGACGGUACCUGGGGAGGAAGCUCCGGCUAACUACGUG
Molecule: ribosomal RNA, 501 nt
Filed under: uncultured Oscillospiraceae bacterium
Lineage: Bacteria; Bacillati; Bacillota; Clostridia; Eubacteriales; Oscillospiraceae
Description: bacterial SSU rRNA
Rfam family: Bacterial small subunit ribosomal RNA
Source: RNAcentral